RNAcentral lists this ribosomal RNA (912 nucleotides) under Escherichia coli. RNAcentral describes it as "partial 23S ribosomal RNA". It matches the Rfam family "Bacterial large subunit ribosomal RNA", at positions 865 to 1776 of the family's 2925-position model. Lineage: Bacteria; Pseudomonadati; Pseudomonadota; Gammaproteobacteria; Enterobacterales; Enterobacteriaceae. The record is from RNAcentral.
GCUAUUUAGGUAGCGCCUCGUGAAUUCAUCUCCGGGGGUAGAGCACUGUUUCGGCAAGGGGGUCAUCCCGACUUACCAACCCGAUGCAAACUGCGAAUACCGGAGAAUGUUAUCACGGGAGACACACGGCGGGUGCUAACGUCCGUCGUGAAGAGGGAAACAACCCAGACCGCCAGCUAAGGUCCCAAAGUCAUGGUUAAGUGGGAAACGAUGUGGGAAGGCCCAGACAGCCAGGAUGUUGGCUUAGAAGCAGCCAUCAUUUAAAGAAAGCGUAAUAGCUCACUGGUCGAGUCGGCCUGCGCGGAAGAUGUAACGGGGCUAAACCAUGCACCGAAGCUGCGGCAGCGACACUAUGUGUUGUUGGGUAGGGGAGCGUUCUGUAAGCCUGUGAAGGUGUACUGUGAGGUAUGCUGGAGGUAUCAGAAGUGCGAAUGCUGACAUAAGUAACGAUAAAGCGGGUGAAAAGCCCGCUCGCCGGAAGACCAAGGGUUCCUGUCCAACGUUAAUCGGGGCAGGGUGAGUCGACCCCUAAGGCGAGGCCGAAAGGCGUAGUCGAUGGGAAACAGGUUAAUAUUCCUGUACUUGGUGUUACUGCGAAGGGGGGACGGAGAAGGCUAUGUUGGCCGGGCGACGGUUGUCCCGGUUUAAGCGUGUAGGCUGGUUUUCCAGGCAAAUCCGGAAAAUCAAGGCUGAGGCGUGAUGACGAGGCACUACGGUGCUGAAGCAACAAAUGCCCUGCUUCCAGGAAAAGCCUCUAAGCAUCAGGUAACAUCAAAUCGUACCCCAAACCGACACAGGUGGUCAGGUAGAGAAUACCAAGGCGCUUGAGAGAACUCGGGUGAAGGAACUAGGCAAAAUGGUGCCGUAACUUCGGGAGAAGGCACGCUGAUAUGUAGGUGAAGUCCCUCGCGG